CAGUCGCCGCGGGAAUACGUAGGUGGCAAGCGUUGUCCGGAAUUAUUGGGCGUAAAGGGCUCGCAGGCGGUUUCUUAAGUCAGAUGUGAAAGCCCCCGGCUCAACCGGGGAGGGUCAUUGGAAACUGGGAAACUUGAGUGCAGAAGAGGAGAGUGGAAUUCCGAGUGUAGAGGUGAAAUUCGUAGAUAUUCGGAAGAACACCAGAGGCGAAGGCGGCUCACUGGCUCAUACUGGACGCUGAGGUGCGAAAGCGUGGGGAGCAAACAGGAUUAGAUACCCCCGUAGUCCCUGUCUCUUAUAC
Molecule: ribosomal RNA, 301 nt
Filed under: uncultured bacterium
Lineage: Bacteria
Description: partial 16S ribosomal RNA
Rfam family: Bacterial small subunit ribosomal RNA
Source: RNAcentral